Molecule: ribosomal RNA, 498 nt
Filed under: uncultured bacterium
Lineage: Bacteria
Description: partial 16S ribosomal RNA
Rfam family: Bacterial small subunit ribosomal RNA
Source: RNAcentral
AUUGAACGCUGGCGGCAUGCUUUACACAUGCAGGUCGAACGGUGACAGGUCUUCGGAUGCUGACGAGUGGCGAACGGGUGAGUAAUGCAUCGGAACGUGCCCAGUCGUGGGGGAUAACGCAGCGAAAGCUGUGCUAAUACCGCAUACGAUCUAUGGAUGAAAGCGGGGGACCGUAAGGCCUCGCGCGAUUGGAGCGGCCGAUGUCAGAUUAGCUAGUUGGUGGGGUAAAGGCCCACCAAGGCGACGAUCUGUAGCUGGUCUGAGAGGACGACCAGCCGCACUGGGACUGAGAGACGGCCCAGACGCCUAGGGGAGGCGGCAGUGGGGAAUUUUGGACAGUGGGCGCAAGCCUGAGCCAGCAAUGCCGCGUGCAGGAAGAAGGCCUUCGGGUUGUAAACUGCUUUUGUACGGAACGAAACGGUCUGGGUUAAUACCCUGGGCUAAUGACGGUACCGUAAGAAUAAGCACCGGCUAACUACGUGCCAGCCGCCGCCGUAA